RNAcentral lists this ribosomal RNA (433 nucleotides) under uncultured bacterium. RNAcentral describes it as "partial 16S ribosomal RNA". It matches the Rfam family "Bacterial small subunit ribosomal RNA", at positions 29 to 507 of the family's 1533-position model. The record is from RNAcentral.
AACGAACGCUGGCGGCAUGCCUAACACAUGCAAGUCGAACGAGACCUUCGGGUCUAGUGGCGCACGGGUGCGUAACGCGUGGGAACCUGCCCUUAGGCUCGGAAUAACUCUCCGAAAGGGGUGCUAAUACCGGAUAAUGUCUUCGGACCAAAGAUUUAUCGCCUUUGGAUGGGCCCGCGUUGGAUUAGCUAGUUGGUAGGGUAAAAGCCUACCAAGGCGACGAUCCAUAGCUGGUCUGAGAGGAUGAUCAGCCACACUGGGACUGAGACACGGCCCAGACUCCUACGGGAGGCAGCAGUGGGGAAUAUUGGACAAUGGGCGAAAGCCUGAUCCAGCAAUGCCGCGUGAGUGAUGAAGGCCUUAGGGUUGUAAAGCUCUUUUACCCGGGAUGAUAAUGACAGUACCGGGAGAAUAAGCUCCGGCUAACUCCGUG